RNAcentral lists this non-coding RNA (48 nucleotides) under Schistosoma haematobium. Lineage: Eukaryota; Metazoa; Platyhelminthes; Trematoda; Strigeidida; Schistosomatidae. The record is from RNAcentral.
AUCCAACUGACGAGUCCCAAACGGGGCGAAACGCGCCUUGUCCUGGAU